RNAcentral lists this ribosomal RNA (490 nucleotides) under Limosilactobacillus mucosae. Its description in RNAcentral is "bacterial SSU rRNA". It matches the Rfam family "Bacterial small subunit ribosomal RNA", at positions 57 to 503 of the family's 1533-position model. The record is from RNAcentral. Lineage: Bacteria; Bacillati; Bacillota; Bacilli; Lactobacillales; Lactobacillaceae.
GCAAGUCGAACGCGUUGGCCCAACUGAUUGAACGUGCUUGCACGGACUUGACGUUGGUUUACCAGCGAGUGGCGGACGGGUGAGUAACACGUAGGUAACCUGCCCCAAAGCGGGGGAUAACAUUUGGAAACAGAUGCUAAUACCGCAUAACAAUUUGAAUCGCAUGAUUCAAAUUUAAAAGAUGGUUUCGGCUAUCACUUUGGGAUGGACCUGCGGCGCAUUAGCUUGUUGGUAGGGUAACGGCCUACCAAGGCUGUGAUGCGUAGCCGAGUUGAGAGACUGAUCGGCCACAAUGGAACUGAGACACGGUCCAUACUCCUACGGGAGGCAGCAGUAGGGAAUCUUCCACAAUGGGCGCAAGCCUGAUGGAGCAACACCGCGUGAGUGAAGAAGGGUUUCGGCUCGUAAAGCUCUGUUGUUAGAGAAGAACGUGCGUGAGAGCAACUGUUCACGCAGUGACGGUAUCUAACCAGAAAGUCACGGCUAACUA